This 392-nucleotide long non-coding RNA is filed under the name Brachypodium distachyon (stiff brome). RNAcentral's name for it is "long non-coding RNA (BDIS_LNC000436)". The record is from RNAcentral. Lineage: Eukaryota; Viridiplantae; Streptophyta; Magnoliopsida; Poales; Poaceae.
GGCGGUGGCAUUGGCAAAGGUGGAGGACUUGGUGGUGGCAUUGGCCAUGGCAUCGGUGGCGGAUUGGGCAAAGGCGGAGGCAUUGGUCAUGAUAUUGGAGGUGGCUUCGGCAAGGGCGGCGGCCUCGGUGGCGGCUUCGGCAAGGGCGGCGGCCUCGGGGGUGGUGGAGGAGGUGGGUUCGGUGGUGGCAGCGGCUCCGGUGGAGGUUUCGGCAAGGGCGGUGGGUUUGGUUUCGGGUUUGGCAAAGGUGGAGGACUCGGUGAUGGUGGCAGCGGGGGCAUUGGUGGUGGCCACUGAUGUGUAUCCGUUCGGUCGUUCCGGCUCUGUCUGUAUGUGAUAUGUUUGCCAUCAUAAUAUUCUGUUUCGAUAAGAGCAGUAGGUACCAGGGAGAA